This is a non-coding RNA of Glycine soja, 111 nucleotides long. NCBI's taxonomy places the organism in Eukaryota, Viridiplantae, Streptophyta, Magnoliopsida, Fabales, Fabaceae. The record is from Rfam.
UUGUCCCCUUGAAUUCCCCUGACCACUUCAUUAGCAACUCCUUAGGUUUCACUAACAGUGAGGCCUUAUAGUUAGUCCUAUUGAAGUGUUUUGGGGAACUCUAGGAGCCAC